CGUGCGCAAACGCAUGCAACGCCGGCUCUUUGUGUGUCUGUGUGGCUCCGCGCCGCCGCGGGCACCAUUUUCUACUCGGCUCGGGACAGGCACAUAAAAGGGAAGGCGGCUGCCGCCCGUCGCCGUCCUCUUUCCCUCAGAUGCCCUCUGCUGCAGGUUUAUUAUUACAGUACGGGCCGCGCCGCCUCUCCCCGCGGCCUUGGCCAGCCGCCGGGCUAUGCAGCGCCCUGGCCGCCUUCACGCUUGGCUCGCCCCCAAACCGCCUCCUCCGCCUCCUUAUUUGUCUGAAAAGCAACCGCACGUCGAGGCGAAGAGGCCCGCCGGGGCAACAGAGGCCGGGCCGGCGUGUAGAGAGGAGAGAGUGAACAGGGAGCGGGGCUUUUGUCUGUUGGUUGGUCUCCUUGGACUGAAGAGAGGGAGGGUGCAAGGCCAAGACUGUUAA
Molecule: long non-coding RNA, 442 nt
Filed under: Monodon monoceros (narwhal)
Lineage: Eukaryota; Metazoa; Chordata; Mammalia; Artiodactyla; Monodontidae
Description: lncRNA (ENSMMNG00015000946.1)
Source: RNAcentral